AGAGUUUGAUCAUGGCUCAGAUUGAACGCUGGCGGCAGGCCUAACACAUGCAAGUCGAACGGUAACAGGAAACAGCUUGCUGUUUCGCUGACGAGUGGCGGACGGGUGAGUAAUGUCUGGGAAACUGCCUGAUGGAGGGGGAUAACUACUGGAAACGGUAGCUAAUACCGCAUAACGUCGCAAGACCAAAGAGGGGGACCUUCGGGCCUCUUGCCAUCAGAUGUGCCCAGAUGGGAUUAGCUAGUAGGUGGGGUAACGGCUCACCUAGGCGACGAUCCCUAGCUGGUCUGAGAGGAUGACCAGCCACACUGGAACUGAGACACGGUCCAGACUCCUACGGGAGGCAGCAGUGGGGAAUAUUGCACAAUGGGCGCAAGCCUGAUGCAGCCAUGCCGCGUGUAUGAAGAAGGCCUUCGGGUUGUAAAGUACUUUCAGCGGGGAGGAAGGGAGUAAAGUUAAUACCUUUGCUCAUUGACGUUACCCGCAGAAGAAGCACCGGCUAACUCCGUGCCAGCAGCCGCGGUAAUACGGAGGGUGCAAGCGUUAAUCGGAAUUACUGGGCGUAAAGCGCACGCAGGCGGUUUGUUAAGUCAGAUGUGAAAUCCCCGGGCUCAACCUGGGAACUGCAUCUGAUACUGGCAAGCUUGAGUCUCGUAGAGGGGGGUAGAAUUCCAGGUGUAGCGGUGAAAUGCGUAGAGAUCUGGAGGAAUACCGGUGGCGAAGGCGGCCCCCUGGACGAAGACUGACGCUCAGGUGCGAAAGCGUGGGGAGCAAACAGGAUUAGAUACCCUGGUAGUCCACGCCGUAAACGAUGUCGACUUGGAGGUUGUGCCCUUGAGGCGUGGCUUCCGGAGCUAACGCGUUAAGUCGACCGCCUGGGGAGUACGGCCGCAAGGUUAAAACUCAAAUGAAUUGACGGGGGCCCGCACAAGCGGUGGAGCAUGUGGUUUAAUUCGAUGCAACGCGAAGAACCUUACCUGGUCUUGACAUCCACGGAAGUUUUCAGAGAUGAGAAUGUGCCUUCGGGAACCGUGAGACAGGUGCUGCAUGGCUGUCGUCAGCUCGUGUUGUGAAAUGUUGGGUUAAGUCCCGCAACGAGCGCAACCCUUAUCCUUUGUUGCCAGCGGUCCGGCCGGGAACUCAAAGGAGACUGCCAGUGAUAAACUGGAGGAAGGUGGGGAUGACGUCAAGUCAUCAUGGCCCUUACGACCAGGGCUACACACGUGCUACAAUGGCGCAUACAAAGAGAAGCGACCUCGCGAGAGCAAGCGGACCUCAUAAAGUGCGUCGUAGUCCGGAUUGGAGUCUGCAACUCGACUCCAUGAAGUCGGAAUCGCUAGUAAUCGUGGAUCAGAAUGCCACGGUGAAUACGUUCCCGGGCCUUGUACACACCGCCCGUCACACCAUGGGAGUGGGUUGCAAAAGAAGUAGGUAGCUUAACCUUCGGGAGGGCGCUUACCACUUUGUGAUUCAUGACUGGGGUGAAGUCGUAACAAGGUAACCGUAGGGGAACCUGCGGAUG
This 1522-nucleotide ribosomal RNA is filed under the name metagenome. RNAcentral describes it as "bacterial SSU rRNA". It matches the Rfam family "Bacterial small subunit ribosomal RNA". The record is from RNAcentral.